GAUGAACGCUGGCGGCGUGCCUAACACAUGCAAGUCGAACGUGAAGGUUGAGAUGAGGGCUUCGGGUUUGAUUCUUGGCUGGAAAGUGGCGAACGGGUGAGUAACACGUAGGUGAUCUGCCUCGAAGUGGGGGAUAACCAUUGGAAACGAUGGCUAAUACCGCAUAGUUCUGUUGAUGUGGGAACAUUGACAGGUAAAGCUCUGGCGCUUCGAGAGGAGCCUGCGUCCGAUUAGCUAGUUGGUGGGGUAAAGGCCCACCAAGGCGACGAUCGGUAGCUGGUCUGAGAGGACGAUCAGCCACACGGGAACUGAGACACGGUCCCG
RNAcentral lists this ribosomal RNA (324 nucleotides) under uncultured bacterium. RNAcentral's name for it is "bacterial SSU rRNA". It matches the Rfam family "Bacterial small subunit ribosomal RNA", at positions 28 to 334 of the family's 1533-position model. The record is from RNAcentral.